RNAcentral lists this non-coding RNA (118 nucleotides) under Geobacter sp. RNAcentral's name for it is "MoCo sequence". It matches the Rfam family "Molybdenum/Tungsten riboswitch aptamer (Moco RNA motif)". Lineage: Bacteria; Pseudomonadati; Thermodesulfobacteriota; Desulfuromonadia; Geobacterales; Geobacteraceae. The record is from RNAcentral.
UUCGAUUCUUUCUCCGAGCCUUUCCGCCUACAGGGUUUCCCCCCCAUGGUGCAAGGCCUAAGGGUUCCGCGGGAAACUGCGGCGCCUCCCUUUGGAAAGGAGAAUUCACGCGGCCUGC